UGGGGAAUAUUGGACAAUGGGCGAAAGCCUGAUCCAGCAAUGCCGCGUGAGUGAUGAAGGCCUUAGGGUUGUAAAGCUCUUUUACCCGGGAUGAUAAUGACAGUACCGGGAGAAUAAGCUCCGGCUAACUUCGUGCCAGCAGCCGCGGUAAUACGAGGGGAGCUAGCGUUAUUCGGAAUUACUGGGCGUAAAGCGCACGUAGGCGGCUUUGUAAGUUAGAGGUGAAAGCCCAGAGCUCAACUCUGGAAUUGCCUUUAAGACUGCAUCGCUUGAAUCCAGGAGAGGUGAGUGGAAUUCCGAGUGUAGAGGUGAAAUUCGUAGAUAUUCGGAAGAACACCAGUGGCGAAGGCGGCUCACUGGACUGGUAUUGACGCUGAGGUGCGAAAGCGUGGGGAGCAAACA
This 402-nucleotide ribosomal RNA is filed under the name Microvirga ossetica. RNAcentral describes it as "partial 16S ribosomal RNA". It matches the Rfam family "Bacterial small subunit ribosomal RNA", at positions 355 to 774 of the family's 1533-position model. Lineage: Bacteria; Pseudomonadati; Pseudomonadota; Alphaproteobacteria; Hyphomicrobiales; Methylobacteriaceae. The record is from RNAcentral. RNAcentral also lists the same sequence under 3 other names.